Molecule: ribosomal RNA, 425 nt
Filed under: uncultured bacterium
Lineage: Bacteria
Description: partial 16S ribosomal RNA
Rfam family: Bacterial small subunit ribosomal RNA
Source: RNAcentral
GUAGGGAAUAUUAGAAAUGGACGAAAGUCUGAUCUAGCAACACCGCGUGUGCGAAGAAGGCCUUCGGGUCGUAAAGCACUUUUUGGAAGGAAUAGGAAGGAAUGUACUUCCAGAAUAAGUCUCGGCUAACUACGUGCCAGCAGCCGCGGUAACACGUAGGAGGCAAACGUUAUCCGGAUUUACUGGGCGUAAAGCGCGUGUAGGUGGUACUGUAAGUAGGGCGUGAAAGCUCCUGGCUCAACUGGGAGAGGCCGUUCUAAACUACAGAACUAGAGGAUGGUAGAGGGAGGUGGAAUUCCAGGUGUAGCGGUGGAAUGCGCAGAUAUCUGGAGGAACACCGGUGGCGAAGGCGGCCUCCUGGACCAUUCCUGACACUCAGACGCGAAAGCUAGGGUAGCAAACGGGAUUAGAAACCCUUGUAGUCC